AACCUGAAAUUUCUGCUACUGUGCUUCCAGCAGUUGUCAGGUCUCAAAAUAAACUUCGAUAAGAAUGAGGUAAUGGUUUUAGGCUAUUCCCCCUCCGAGAGGCAGAGUAUUGUUAACCGGCUCAACUGUCGGCUUGGUUCUUUCCCCACCACCUACCUGGGGAUCCCCAUUAGCGACUUUCCGCUCUCCGUGGCAGACCUGCGGCCCUUGGUGCUCAAGCUUCAGCACCGUAUUGAGCCAUGGCAAGGGCAAUGGUUGUCUAAGGCGGCUCGGACGAUCCUCAUCAACUCGUCCUUGUCCAGCCUCCUCCUGUUCAUCUUGAGUUUCUACAGUCUGCCCGAAAUGUUGCACCAUGAGAUCGGUUCAGUCCAGGCGCGCUUUUACUGGGUCGAUGAUGGUGAUAAGCAGAAAUACCAUAUGGUUUGUUGGACCGACAUCUGCAAACCUAGGGACCAAGGCGACCUCGGCAUCAUGUCCUCCAAACGCAUGAACCUGGCACUCCUAAUGAGGUGGCUCUGGCGCAUUGCAAAUGGCGAGGGUGGCAUGUGGUUGCAAAUCAUCUGA
Molecule: ribosomal RNA, 564 nt
Filed under: Triticum aestivum (bread wheat)
Lineage: Eukaryota; Viridiplantae; Streptophyta; Magnoliopsida; Poales; Poaceae
Description: partial small subunit ribosomal RNA
Source: RNAcentral